Molecule: transfer RNA, 73 nt
Filed under: Danio rerio (zebrafish)
Lineage: Eukaryota; Metazoa; Chordata; Actinopteri; Cypriniformes; Danionidae
Description: tRNA-Lys (TTT) (tRNA-Lys-TTT-133-1)
Rfam family: tRNA
About the family: Transfer RNA (tRNA) molecules are approximately 80 nucleotides in length. Their secondary structure includes four short double-helical elements and three loops (D, anti-codon, and T loops). Further hydrogen bonds mediate the characteristic L-shaped molecular structure. tRNAs have two regions of fundamental functional importance: the anti-codon, which is responsible for specific mRNA codon recognition, and the 3' end, to which the tRNAs corresponding amino acid is attached (by aminoacyl-tRNA synthetases). tRNAs cope with the degeneracy of the genetic code in two manners: having more than one tRNA (with a specific anti-codon) for a particular amino acid; and 'wobble' base-pairing, i.e. permitting non-standard base-pairing at the 3rd anti-codon position.
Source: Rfam by way of RNAcentral
GCCCGGAUAGCUCAGUCGGUAGAGCAUCUGACUUUUAAUCUGAGGGUCCAGGGUUUAAGUCUCUGUUCGGGCG